AACGGCGAGUGAAGCGGCAUCAGCUCAAAUUUGAAAUCUGGCCUCACGGUCCGAGUUGUAAUUUGUAGAGAAUGCUUCGGGCGAGGUCCGGUCUAAGUUCCUUGGAACAGGACGUCAUAGAGGGUGAGAAUCCCGUAUGCGACCGGGUGCCUCUGUCCAUGUGAAGCUUCUUCGACGAGUCGAGUUGUUUGGGAAUGCAGCUCAAAAUGGGUGGUAAAUUUCAUCUAAAGCUAAAUACUGGCCAGAGACCGAUAGCGCACAAGUAGAGUGAUCGAAAGAUGAAAAGCACUUUGGAAAGAGAGUUAAACAGUACGUGAAAUUGUUGAAAGGGAAGCGCUUGCGACCAGACUUGCGCGUAGCCGAUCAUCCGGUGUUCUCACCGGUGCACUCGGUUGCGCUCAGGCCAGCAUCGGUUUCGGUGGUUGGAUAAAGGCCCUGGGAAUGUAGCUCCUCUCGGGGAGUGUUAUAGCCCUCGGCGCAAUGCAGCCUACCGGGACCGAGGACCGCGCUUCGGCUAGGAUGCUGGCGUAAUGGUCGUAAGCGACCCGUCUUGAAACACGGACCAAGGAGUCUAACAUCUAUGCGAGUGUUUGGGUGUCAAACCCAUACGCGUAAUGAAAGUGAACGGAGGUGAGAACCCUUAAGGGUGCAUCAUCGACCGAUCCUGAUGUCUUCGGAUGGAUUUGAGUAAGAGCAUAGCUGUUGGGACCCGAAAGAUGGUGAACUAUGCCUGAAUAGGGUGAAGCCAGAGGAAACUCUGGUGGAGGCUCGCAGCGGUUCUGACGUGCAAAUCGAUCGUCAAAUUUGGGUAUAGGGGCGAAAGACUAAUCGAACCAUC
Molecule: ribosomal RNA, 838 nt
Filed under: Phacidiales sp.
Lineage: Eukaryota; Fungi; Ascomycota; Leotiomycetes; Phacidiales
Description: partial large subunit ribosomal RNA
Rfam family: Eukaryotic large subunit ribosomal RNA
Source: RNAcentral